This 157-nucleotide ribosomal RNA is filed under the name uncultured Pseudomonadota bacterium. Its description in RNAcentral is "uncultured proteobacterium partial 16S ribosomal RNA". It matches the Rfam family "Bacterial small subunit ribosomal RNA", at positions 373 to 526 of the family's 1533-position model. Lineage: Bacteria; Pseudomonadati; Pseudomonadota. The record is from RNAcentral.
GGGCAGCCUGAUCAGCCAUGCCGCGUGUGCGAAGAAGGCCUUCGGGUUGUAAAGCACUUUUGUCAGGAACGAAAAGUUUCGCGCUAAUACCGCGGGACGAUGACGGUACCUGAAGAAUAAGCACCGGCUAACUACGUGCCAGCAGCCGCGGUAAUAC